AUGUUAUUAGAGAAGCCGGUAGAAAUCUCAAUGUCUGCAAUUUAUUUAAUAUUCCUUACCUUCUCAUCUUCUUCAACCUUAAAUAAAGUAAACCUACUUGUGUGAUUAUUUGUUGGUUGAUAACUAGCUUGAUGUCUUGUUUGGUUAUAAUCUACUUGUAUUCAGUGACUAAAAUUAAUUCUUUUUCUUUUGUCAUGAAGGCUAUAUUGCAGCUAACAGAAUCAGGUUCAUUUUUCCUCCAGGUUGAUUUGUUUAAAGUACGUGGGAAGUUUGCCUUAUCAUAUGUUUAUGAAGAUCGCUUUUUACUCUGCAAAGGGAAAAUUCUUCUAGUCACUCAUCGAAGAUUGAUACUGUGGCAAGUAAGUUAG
This 368-nucleotide long non-coding RNA is filed under the name Prunus dulcis (almond). RNAcentral describes it as "sRNA ncRNA". The record is from RNAcentral. Lineage: Eukaryota; Viridiplantae; Streptophyta; Magnoliopsida; Rosales; Rosaceae.